GGGCAUUUGGUCGAGUGGUAUGAUUCUCGCUUUGGAGGCAAGAGGUCUCGAGUUGGAUUUUCAAUAUGCCCCC
Molecule: transfer RNA, 73 nt
Filed under: Amborella trichopoda
Lineage: Eukaryota; Viridiplantae; Streptophyta; Magnoliopsida; Amborellales; Amborellaceae
Description: tRNA AMTR_s00031t00275780
Rfam family: tRNA
About the family: Transfer RNA (tRNA) molecules are approximately 80 nucleotides in length. Their secondary structure includes four short double-helical elements and three loops (D, anti-codon, and T loops).
Source: RNAcentral